UACAGAGGGGGCAAGCGUUGUUCGGAAUUACUGGGCGUAAAGGGCGCGUAGGCGGCCUUCUAAGUCGAACGUGAAAUCCCCGGGCUCAACCCGGGAACUGCGUCCGAUACUGGAAGGCUUGAAUCCGGGAGAGGGAUGUGGAAUUCCAGGUGUAGCGGUGAAAUGCGUAGAUAUCUGGAGGAACACCGGUGGCGAAGGCGACAUCCUGGACCGGUAUUGACGCUGAGGCGCGAAAGCCAGGGGAGCAAACGGG
This 253-nucleotide ribosomal RNA is filed under the name uncultured bacterium. Its description in RNAcentral is "partial 16S ribosomal RNA". It matches the Rfam family "Bacterial small subunit ribosomal RNA", at positions 524 to 776 of the family's 1533-position model. The record is from RNAcentral.